Molecule: ribosomal RNA, 417 nt
Filed under: Diphyes chamissonis
Lineage: Eukaryota; Metazoa; Cnidaria; Hydrozoa; Siphonophorae; Diphyidae
Description: partial 16S ribosomal RNA
Rfam family: Bacterial large subunit ribosomal RNA
Source: RNAcentral
CUUAAUCCUAGAGGGUACUAAGUAAGCAUAAUCUGAUGCCGUUUGAUUGGCGGAGAGUUGAAUGGAUUAACGAGUGCAUACCUGUCUUAUCAAAAGAAAAAUUUAAUUAGACAUUUAAGUGAAGAGGCUUAAAAUAAUAGAAAGACGAGAAGACCCCGUGAAGCUUUACUAUAAACUAACUUUAUAAAUUUUUUCUUUAUUUUUUUUUUUAUUAAAUUAGCCAAUUUUGUUUAUUAUUAGUAGUUAGUUUGGUAGUUUGGGUGGGGCGCCCGCACUUUAAUAAAAACAAGUAGUUGAUAACAUAAUUAUUAAAACUAUAUAAAUUACUUUUUUAUUUAGGGUUAUUUUACUAUCAAAAACCCUUACUAUUUAAAUAAUAGUAGGUCAUAGAAUAAUAGCUACUCCGGGGAUAACAGG